This 361-nucleotide ribosomal RNA is filed under the name uncultured bacterium. RNAcentral describes it as "partial 16S ribosomal RNA". It matches the Rfam family "Bacterial small subunit ribosomal RNA", at positions 338 to 696 of the family's 1533-position model. The record is from RNAcentral.
CCUACGGGUGGCAGCAGUGAGGAAUAUUGGUCAAUGGACGCAAGUCUGAACCAGCCAUGCCGCGUGAAGGAAGACGGCUCUAUGAGUUGUAAACUGCUUUUGUCCGAGGGUAAACGCAGAUACGCGUAUCUGUCUGAAAGUACCGUACGAAUAAGGAUCGGCUAACUCCGUGCCAGCAGCCGCGGUAAUACGGAGGAUUCAAGCGUUAUCCGGAUUUAUUGGGUUUAAAGGGUGCGUAGGCGGUCGGAUAAGUUAGAGGUGAAAUCCCGGGGCUCAACUGCGGAAUUGCCUCUGAUACUGGUCGGCUAGAGAGUAGUUGAGGUAGGCGGAAUGCGUGGUGUAGCGGUGAAAUGCUUAGAGA